Molecule: long non-coding RNA, 241 nt
Organism: Ornithodoros turicata
Lineage: Eukaryota; Metazoa; Arthropoda; Arachnida; Ixodida; Argasidae
Exons: 3
Source: RefSeq, a predicted model, not a curated record
GUUGCGUCAGUUGCGGUCUGUUGUACUUGUUGAGCUUCAAAGACAAGGCAAAAAAGCUGAUCCUGAAAAGUGCCCCACCACAAGAGUCUUGGGACAGAUAUGACAUCCAAGUCAUGGGAGUAUUCUCAACGUAUGCUGAAGCUCAUGCCAAGCUUGACCGUGCUCAGUAUAUUUCGGACUUAAAUUCAGACAUGAGCGACGAUGGCAGACGAAAGCGACUUCCUCCAUGCCGUCUCAUCCA